GGUAUAGCCAAGCGGUAAGGCAACGGACUUUGACUCCGUCAUUCACAGGUUCAAAUCCUGUUAUC
This 65-nucleotide transfer RNA is filed under the name Clostridium mediterraneense. It matches the Rfam family "tRNA". Rfam says of the family: Transfer RNA (tRNA) molecules are approximately 80 nucleotides in length. Their secondary structure includes four short double-helical elements and three loops (D, anti-codon, and T loops). Further hydrogen bonds mediate the characteristic L-shaped molecular structure. tRNAs have two regions of fundamental functional importance: the anti-codon, which is responsible for specific mRNA codon recognition, and the 3' end, to which the tRNAs corresponding amino acid is attached (by aminoacyl-tRNA synthetases). tRNAs cope with the degeneracy of the genetic code in two manners: having more than one tRNA (with a specific anti-codon) for a particular amino acid; and 'wobble' base-pairing, i.e. permitting non-standard base-pairing at the 3rd anti-codon position. Lineage: Bacteria; Bacillati; Bacillota; Clostridia; Eubacteriales; Clostridiaceae. The record is from RNAcentral.